UUUUGCAUCAGUUUUUAAACCAUUUUACCAAGUAUCCAUGCUUCAAAGUCAACACUUCCAUGUUUAAGAGGGAUCUAGCUUCUCCUGGCACAAAGUUUGGUAUUUUAAAAGAAGGGACUUUAUUAUCCAAGGCAGAGAUUCCUGAAGAACAGGUCUAGUACCAUCAUUUGAACAGAAAAACUCAUCAUCCUUCUGUGGGUGGGGUGAGCCACAUGCCUUGUGGUUUCACUUAAUUACUGUGCAGGAAUUGUGCUCUGGGGCCAAGCUACGGGUGCAUUUUGCUUUUCGUUGCAAUCUUAACAGGAAAUAAAGUCUGUGGACCUAAAAAAUUGUGCCCGCCAUUAAUGAGCUCUAUCUAUGUCUCACAGAGGCAAGCCAUGCAAACACUGGGUAUCAUUGAGGUACAGGGGAUUUUUCACUGUGAGUACACGGUCAUGAUUAAGUGGGCAGGCUUUGGAAUCUUUGGAUUUGAAUCUCAGGGCCACCACUUACUACAUGCAUGUGGAUAGGUCUAUCAACUUUUAGGAUUUUAAUUUUCUUACCUAUAAAAUGAGGCUUAUAUACCUACAUAUAGCAGGGCUAUAUAAAUGAAAGAAAAUGAUGUAUUUAAAGUAGCUAGUACUGUGAUUAUUAUAUGAUUCUCAAUACAUGAUGAUCAAUUUUUAUUAUUAAAAUGCGCCCAAGAUAAAUUUGCAUAUUUUCAAUAAUAACUUGGAAGCCAAGUGUGUGUUUGUAUAUAAAAUAUACUUUAACAAGAAAUCUUUCAUAAUUCAGAGAUCAUAAUAAAUUUUGAUAGAUAUUAUCAAUCUUUCAAGUAGGAGGUGCUUGUCUAUUCCGUUUUACAGAUGGAGAACCUGAAGCACAAAAAGUGAAUUUCCUGAUAUCACAAAAGAAAGUUUUCUUUUAGUGUUUUUAAUAAUAAAAUGAGGUCCAAGGUUGAAGUUAAAGAACGUGUUAAGUUGUAUCACAACCAAAGCAGACACACCGGUUUUGACCUGCGCUAGUUCAGUCCCUGCUUCGCUGAAAGGGUCGGCCUCCUCUUUUGAAGACAGGCGUUGCUUCGGAUUUGCAAAGAUUCAGAAACAGUCAAGGACAGCGCCUUCCUGAAAAACAGCCGCAGCAUUUAGCGCCAGAUUGUGAAGACAGAGGAGGAAAAUUACCUUUAGCAAACCUAACUAUCUGCAUGACAUUCUGCAUGCAUAAACAGAUAAACUGUUAGUUGAGAAACCAGAGUUUCUUCUAACAAAUGAAUUAAUAUAGCUGUUUAAUUCGUCUCCUUGUUCUAUAAAUACAAGCAGCUAUGAAGAAUGUGUCCAGUGUCUGCCGUGGUGGCUUCUGUGUGCGCGUGUGUUCUUUCUCAUGCGCUUCCUUGGUGGCAGGGUGCCCGGGGACUGUGGAGGGACAUCCUGACUGCCUCCCACUUCUCCUCCCCAGAACGCUUCACUGUUUCUGCUGAAAUCCCUCUAUUUAAAGGUAGCAUUCUCAGCACAUGCGGCUACUGAGAAUCUCACCGGCUCCGUUUCUACCUGCAAACUGCACUUGUGGGGUCUCUAACUCCAGGGGCAAGGUUCAUCCUUGCGUGUCCAUCCCUACGGUGUGUCCAGUAGUUUCCUGGAGAUGGAGCUUCUUGACAGAAGGAGGAGAUGUCGGAUGGAGAAUGAGAAGAGGAUUCCGG
Molecule: long non-coding RNA, 1675 nt
Filed under: Homo sapiens (human)
Lineage: Eukaryota; Metazoa; Chordata; Mammalia; Primates; Hominidae
Description: HSALNT0116400
Source: RNAcentral